RNAcentral lists this ribosomal RNA (871 nucleotides) under uncultured bacterium. RNAcentral's name for it is "bacterial SSU rRNA". It matches the Rfam family "Bacterial small subunit ribosomal RNA", at positions 69 to 936 of the family's 1533-position model. The record is from RNAcentral.
GCAGCACGGGGGCAACCCUGGUGGCGAGUGGCGAACGGGUGAGUAACAUAUCGGAACGUGCCCUGGAGUGGGGGAUAACUAGUCGAAAGAUUAGCUAAUACCGCAUACGAUCUACGGAUGAAAGUGGGGGAUCGCAAGACCUCAUGCUCGUGGAGCGGCCGAUAUCUGAUUAGCUAGUUGGUGGGGUAAAGGCCUACCAAGGCAUCGAUCAGUAGCUGGUCUGAGAGGACGACCAGCCACACUGGGACUGAGACACGGCCCAGACUCCUACGGGAGGCAGCAGUGGGGAAUUUUGGACAAUGGGCGCAAGCCUGAUCCAGCAAUGCCGCGUGAGUGAAGAAGGCCUUCGGGUUGUAAAGCUCUUUUGUCAGGGAAGAAACGGUUCGGGUUAAUACCUUGGGCUAAUGACGGUACCUGAAGAAUAAGCACCGGCUAACUACGUGCCAGCAGCCGCGGUAAUACGUAGGGUGCAAGCGUUAAUCGGAAUUACUGGGCGUAAAGCGUGCGCAGGCGGUUGUGCAAGACAGAUGUGAAAUCCCCGGGCUCAACCUGGGAAUUGCAUUUGUGACUGUACGGCUAGAGUGUGUCAGAGGGGGGUAGAAUUCCACGUGUAGCAGUGAAAUGCGUAGAGAUGUGGAGGAAUACCGAUGGCGAAGGCAGCCCCCUGGGAUAACACUGACGCUCAUGCACGAAAGCGUGGGGAGCAAACAGGANUAGAUACCCUGGNAGUCCACGCCCUAAACGAUGUCUACUAGUUGUCGGGUCUUUAUUGACUUGGNAACGCAGCUAACGCGUGAAGUAGACCGCCUGGGGAGUANGGUCGCAAGAUUAAAACUCAAAGGAAUUGACGGGGACCCGCACAAGCGGUGGA